GACGAACGCUGGCGGCGUGCCUAAUACAUGCAAGUAGAACGCUGAAGGAGGAGCUUGCUUCUCUGGAUGAGUUGCGAACGGGUGAGUAACGCGUAGGUAACCUGCCUGGUAGCGGGGGAUAACUAUUGGAAACGAUAGCUAAUACCGCAUAAGAGUAGAUGUUGCAUGACAUUUGCUUAAAAGGUGCAAUUGCAUCACUACCAGAUGGACCUGCGUUGUAUUAGCUAGUUGGUGGGGUAACGGCUUACCAAGGCGACGAUACAUAGCCGACCUGAGAGGGUGAACGGCCACACUGGGACUGAGACACGGCCCAGACUCCUACGGGAGGCAGCAGUAGGGAAUCUUCGGCAAUGGACGGAAGUCUGACCGAGCAACGCCGCGUGAGUGAAGAAGGUUUUCGGAUCGUAAAGCUCUGUUGUAAGAGAAGAACGAGUGUGAGAGUGGAAAGUUCACACUGUGACGGUAUCUUACCAGAAAGGGACGGCUAACUACGUG
This 495-nucleotide ribosomal RNA is filed under the name uncultured bacterium. RNAcentral describes it as "partial 16S ribosomal RNA". It matches the Rfam family "Bacterial small subunit ribosomal RNA", at positions 28 to 507 of the family's 1533-position model. The record is from RNAcentral.